This 419-nucleotide ribosomal RNA is filed under the name Tripterygion tripteronotum. Its description in RNAcentral is "partial 16S ribosomal RNA". It matches the Rfam family "Bacterial large subunit ribosomal RNA", at positions 1929 to 2512 of the family's 2925-position model. The record is from RNAcentral. Lineage: Eukaryota; Metazoa; Chordata; Actinopteri; Blenniiformes; Tripterygiidae.
GGCCGCGGUAUUCUGACCGUGCAAAGGUAGCGCAAUCACUUGUCUUUUAAAUGAAGACCUGUAUGAAUGGCAUGACGAGGGCUUUACUGUCUCCUCUUUUUAGUCCAUGAAAUUGAUCUUUCCGUGCAGAAGCGGGAAUACCAACAUAAGACGAGAAGACCCUGUGGAGCUUCAGACUCUAAGCAGCCCCCGUAAUAAAGCCUAGUUAAUGGUUUAUAACCCUGCCUUACUGUCUUUGGUUGGGGCGACCGCGGAGAAUUACUAAACCUCCAUGUGGACCGAACUAAUCUUUUAUAACUCAGGGCGGCAGCCCUAAGUAGCAGGAUUUCUGACCAGAAAUGAUCCGGCAGAGCCGAUCAACGAACCAAGUUACCCCAGGGAUAACAGCGCAAUCCCCUUUUAGAGCCCGUAUCGACAAG